UAUCCCAAGCCCUAUUUUGUAUUUUAUUUGGAGACAGGGUCUCAUCUCACUGAGUUGCUUAGUGCCUCACAGUCCCUGAGGCUUGGUUUGAACUUGUAAUCCUCCUGCCUCAAUCCCCCAAGCCACUGGGAUUACAGACAUAGGCCAUCAUGCCCAACACCAAAGUACCAUUUUGGAAAAAUAAAAGAAGUCAGGCAUUUAGCCCAAGAGGUAUUCUUCACACAGUGAAUUGUAAACUCUGAAGGGUGGCAACUGGGAACAGAGUGACAGAACUCAAAAGAGAGAUCAGGAAAGACUUGCAUAGACAAAACAUUUGAUAACAUCACAAAGGUCACAUUUCCAUUAUUUGGAGAAAGACAUAUGAUUCCAUAAAAAGUAGUGGGACCAUUUUGAAGAUGCCUAAUGAUGUAGUUAAGAACAUGAAAUCCAAUCCCUAUCUCAAUCUUUCCAUCCAAAAAAACUCCAGAUGCUCUGAUACACUAAAUGUAUAAAUCAUCAAAGUCCAGGAACAAAAUAAAUGAAUGUUUACACAAUGGAGGAGCAUUUCUAAACCUCAAUGUGGAAAGCAAGAAGGCAAAGUUGGUUACUAAUGCGAGUUUUGUAUGUAUAUUGAGGUGUAGUGUGUGUGGACAUGUCCACACAUACACCAGCACACAUUGCUCUUGUACUUUCCACCACAAUUUUAUUUAGAAACUUUAUUAGGUUAAGUAUGUCUCAGGAAGUAGAACGGUGCUUACUGGGAUGAGUUACAGGGAAAAGUGGCAAGAGAGUAUUUAAUGAGGACAGGUUGAAUUUGUGAGUAGAAAAGUCCUGGGGAUGGACAAAUGAUAGUGAUGGCUGUAUCAUAAUGAGAUUCUCUUUGGUGCCAUAGAACCAUACUCCUUUUUAAAAAGUUAACAUGUUAAAUGUCUCAUAUCGUGAACUUGUACAACUGCAACUGUGUUAAUUCUGUUUUUAAAAUACCACAUAUAUUCUUUUUUUUAAAGAUUUUUUUUCUUAGUUGUUGAUAGAUCUUUAUUUUAUUUAUUUAUCAAAGGUGCUCAGAAAGGAACACAGGGCCUUGGACCUGCCAGACAAAUGUGCUUCGGCUGAGCUGCAGUCCCAGCCCACGUGGUAACUUCCUAAAAAAAAGUGUCUGAG
Molecule: long non-coding RNA, 1140 nt
Filed under: Marmota monax (woodchuck)
Lineage: Eukaryota; Metazoa; Chordata; Mammalia; Rodentia; Sciuridae
Source: RNAcentral